This is a long non-coding RNA of Meriones unguiculatus (Mongolian gerbil), 931 nucleotides long. RefSeq lists it as uncharacterized. NCBI's taxonomy places the organism in Eukaryota, Metazoa, Chordata, Mammalia, Rodentia, Muridae. The transcript has 4 exons. The record is from RefSeq and is a predicted model, not a curated record.
CUGAGGCUCAGCCGGCACAAGCCGGAGUCCUCUGGGAAGAGGGAGCCUCAACUGAGAAGAUGUUUCCAUCAGGUCGGCCUGAGGGCAUGUCUGUGGGGCAUUUUACUGAUCAACAGAUGCAAGACUGCUCAGCUCACUGUGGGUAGGGUGUCCCGAGUUGACUAAGGAAGCUGGCUGAGGAAGGCAUGAGGAGCUAGCCAGUCAACAGCUUUCCCGGUGCCUCUCCAGGACUCUGCUUCUGUUCUAGUCCCUGAUUCCUCCAGUGAUGGACUCUGCCAAGAUGAAACCAAGCCUUUCCUCCUCCACUUGCUUUUGGUCGUGGUGUCUUAUCACAGCGAUAGAAACCUACCCAAGACGCCCAGCUUCUAACAGGCUCUUGGAAGCAGGACUGAAGAGGUGAGCUCAACUACAGACCGACAAGCGAGGGACCCCAAUCACCCUAACCAUGCUCUAGCUGCCAUGCCUGCUGCCUGCAGCCAUGCUCUCUCCACCAUUAAGAACUCUAACCCUCUGACGCGAUGAGACCAAAGACACCCCUCCUUCUAUAGUGAGUGAAAACUUUCAGUGGCUGAAAAAAAAAAUCCACAAGCUCUAUUCAGCAUUCAAGAACGACCUCAAUCUCUCUUUAGUUUUAUACGACUGAUGAUGAGAUCAACGUGGUGAGACUUUCAUAUUCAGAAAUAGAACCGGAGACACUAGCAAAGCAAGCUUCCCAGAGCCCUCUCACCUGUAUCCCCAGUCACCUCUCUGCACCUCACCAAACAUUUAUUUUAUCCAGAAAACAACUCACCUCUCCCUUUCUCCGUAUUCUCCGUAUUCACACAUAUCUUGCUUGUGAGUUUUCACAGCUGCUUUUAGAUAAUGGAUCUCUGCUCUACUUAAGAGUUUAUAUAAUUUUAUCAUUCAAUAAAUGAGGACCCAGCCAUCCCCA